Molecule: ribosomal RNA, 395 nt
Filed under: uncultured bacterium
Lineage: Bacteria
Description: bacterial SSU rRNA
Rfam family: Bacterial small subunit ribosomal RNA
Source: RNAcentral
AUAUUGGACAAUGGGCGCAAGCCUGAUCCAGCCAUGCCGCGUGAGUGAAGAAGGCCUUCGGGUUGUAAAGCUCUUUCAGUAGUGAAGAUGAUGACGGUAACUACAGAAGAAGCCCCGGCUAACUUCGUGCCAGCAGCCGCGGUAAUACGAAGGGGGCGAGCGUUGUUCGGAAUCACUGGGCUUAAAGCGUGCGUAGGCGGAUAAGAAAGUCAGGAGUGAAAUCCCGGGGCUCAACCCCGGAACUGCUUUUGAAACUUCUUGUCUAGAAUCCGACAGAGGUUAACGGAAUUCCGAGUGUAGAGGUGAAAUUCGCAGAUAUUCGGAGGAACACCAGUGGCGAAGGCGGUUAACUGGGUCGGUAUUGACGCUGAGGUACGAAAGCGUGGGGAGCAAAC